Molecule: ribosomal RNA, 420 nt
Filed under: uncultured bacterium
Lineage: Bacteria
Description: bacterial SSU rRNA
Rfam family: Bacterial small subunit ribosomal RNA
Source: RNAcentral
GAGGAAUAUUGGUCAAUGGACGCAAGUCUGAACCAGCCAUGCCGCGUGCAGGAAGAAUGUCCUAUGGAUUGUAAACUGCUUUUAUAAGGGAAUAAACCUACUUACGUGUAAGUAGCUGAAGGUACUUUAUGAAUAAGCACCGGCUAACUCCGUGCCAGCAGCCGCGGUAAUACGGAGGGUGCAAGCGUUAUCCGGAAUCAUUGGGUUUAAAGGGUCCGCAGGCGGGGAUAUAAGUCAGUGGUGAAAUCCGGCAGCUCAACUGUCGAACUGCCAUUGAUACUGUAUUUCUUGAAUUAGUUGGAAGUGGGCGGAAUGUGACAUGUAGCGGUGAAAUGCAUAGAUAUGUCACAGAACACCGAUAGCGAAGGCAGCUCACUAUGACUAAAUUGACGCUCAUGGACGAAAGCGUGGGGAGCAAAC